ACCGAUGGCGAAGGCAACUACCUAGAUCGGCUCUGAUGCUGAGGUACGAAAGCGUGGGGAGCAGUCAGGAUUAGAUACCCUGCUAGUCCACGCCCUGAACGAUGAAUGCUAAAUGCUGGGGAGCGAUCCUCACGGUUGAAGCUUACGCGUUAAGCAUUCCGCCUGGGGAAUACGGUCGCAAGAUUCAAACUCAAAGGAAUUGACGGGGACCCGCACAAGCGGUGGAGCAUGUGGUCUAAUUCGAUGCCACGCAGUCCAACCUUACCACACCUUGACAUGGAAGCUAUAUCUUUUUGAAGGAUAAGUGCAGUUCGGCUGGUCUUCAGACAGGUGACGCAUGGCUGUCGCUCAGCUAGUGUCGUGAGAUGUUGGGACAAGUCCCGCUACGAGCGCAACCCUGGUCCUUAUUUGCUAACAGGGUAGGCUGAGAACUAUUAAGACACUGCCAGUGAUUAACUCGCAGGAAGGCGAGGAUGAUGUCAAGUCUUCACGGCCCUUAUGGUGUGGCCUACACACGUGUUAUCAAUGGUUACUACAAUAGGCAGCAAUACCGUGAGGUGGAGCAAAUCCUCCGAAGUUACCUCAGUACAGAUUGCACUCUGCAACUCGAGUGCAUGAAGUUGGAAUCGCUAGUUAUCGCGGAUCAGCAUCCCGCGGUGAAUACGUUCUCGGGUGUUGUACACCCUGCCCGUCA
Molecule: ribosomal RNA, 694 nt
Filed under: uncultured organism
Description: bacterial SSU rRNA
Rfam family: Bacterial small subunit ribosomal RNA
Source: RNAcentral